ACCGGGCACAGUGGUGCAUGCCCGUAAUCCCAGCUGCUUAGGAGGCCGAGGCAGGAGGAUCGCAAGUUCAAGGGCAGCCUCAGCAACUUAGCAAGGCCCUAAGCAACUUAGUGAGGCCCUGUCUCAA
This 127-nucleotide small RNA is filed under the name Marmota monax (woodchuck). Lineage: Eukaryota; Metazoa; Chordata; Mammalia; Rodentia; Sciuridae. The record is from RNAcentral.